Molecule: ribosomal RNA, 374 nt
Filed under: uncultured organism
Description: partial 16S ribosomal RNA
Rfam family: Bacterial small subunit ribosomal RNA
Source: RNAcentral
GGAGGGUGCAAGCGUUGUUCGGAAUUAUUGGGCGUAAAGAGCGUGUAGGCGGUCCGGUAAGUCAGAUGUGAAAGCCCUGGGCUCAACCCAGGAAGUGCAUUUGAAACUACCAGACUUGAGUACGGGAGAGGAGGGGGGAAUUCCCGGUGUAGAGGUGAAAUUCGUAGAUAUCGGGAGGAAUACCAGUGGCGAAGGCGCCCUCUGGACCGAUACUGACGCUGAGACGCGAAAGCGUGGGGAGCAAACAGGAUUAGAUACCCUGGUAGUCCACGCCGUAAACGAUGAGCACUAGGUGUAGCGGGUAUUGACCCCCCUGCUGUGCCCGUAGCUAACGCAUUAAGUGCUCCGCCUGGGGGACUACGGUCGCAAGACUA